RNAcentral lists this ribosomal RNA (333 nucleotides) under uncultured Glomus. RNAcentral describes it as "eukaryotic LSU rRNA". RNAcentral also lists the same sequence under 1 other name. Lineage: Eukaryota; Fungi; Glomeromycota; Glomeromycetes; Glomerales; Glomeraceae. The record is from RNAcentral.
CAGUCAUACCAACGGGAAAUCAACCUUUUGAGCUCGGUCUCGUGGGUUUUGAAGAGUUUCAAAGCCUUCGGAUUCGCGGGAUUGGGAUCUCUCGGUGUACUUUCUCGUACGGUUAGUCAACAUCGGUUUUGAAUGUCAUAAAAUGACUGGAGGAAUGUAGCUUCGAUCUCGUAUUGGAAUGGUUAUACCCUUUGGUAGAUGUGAUGUUUGAGACCGAGGAUUGCAACGGAUACCCUUCAGGGCUAUUCGUCUGAUCUCUGAUACGUUGCCCUGAUGUUGAAAGCUUGCUUAUGAUGUUAGGGUAUUACGGUCAAAAGGUUAGAACUCAUUAGA